UCCCAAGUGGUCUAGUGGUUAGGAUUCCACGCUCUCACCGUGGCGGCCGGGCUUCGAUUACCCGCUUGGGAG
Molecule: transfer RNA, 72 nt
Filed under: Dreissena polymorpha
Lineage: Eukaryota; Metazoa; Mollusca; Bivalvia; Myida; Dreissenidae
Description: transfer RNA glutamic acid (anticodon CUC)
Rfam family: tRNA
About the family: Transfer RNA (tRNA) molecules are approximately 80 nucleotides in length. Their secondary structure includes four short double-helical elements and three loops (D, anti-codon, and T loops).
Source: Rfam by way of RNAcentral